This 488-nucleotide ribosomal RNA is filed under the name uncultured bacterium. Its description in RNAcentral is "bacterial SSU rRNA". It matches the Rfam family "Bacterial small subunit ribosomal RNA", at positions 29 to 526 of the family's 1533-position model. The record is from RNAcentral.
AAUGAACGUUGGCGGCGUGGAUUAGGCAUGCAAGUCGAGCGCGAUACCUCCUUCGGGAGGUGGAAAGCGGCGAAAGGGAGAGGAACACGUGGAUUAUCUACCCCUGGACCCAGGAUAGCUGCGGGAAACUGCAGGUAAUACUGGAUAACGUCUCCGGACCAAAGGUGUGAUUCCGUCCAGGGAGGAGUUCGCGUCCUAUUAGCUAGUUGGUAGGGUAACGGCCUACCAAGGCGAUGAUGGGUACCGGGUGUGAGAGCAUGGCCCGGCUCACUGGGACUGAGACACUGCCCAGACACCUACGGGUGGCUGCAGUCGAGGAUCUUCGGCAAUGGGCGCAAGCCUGACCGAGCGACGCCGCGUGCGGGAUGAAGGCCUUCGGGUUGUAAACCGCUGUCAGAGGGGAUGAAAUGCGGGUGGGUUCUCCCAUUCGUUUGACAUAUCCUCAGAGGAAGUACGGGCUAAGUUCGUGCCAGCAGCCGCAGUAAAAC